RNAcentral lists this long non-coding RNA (1163 nucleotides) under Apteryx owenii (little spotted kiwi). RNAcentral's name for it is "lncRNA (ENSAOWG00000006279.1)". Lineage: Eukaryota; Metazoa; Chordata; Aves; Apterygiformes; Apterygidae. The record is from RNAcentral.
ACAUCAUUGCGCUGAUGACUGAGCUUGCCAAAGUACAGAAUGACUCUUAGCACUCUCUUCUCCCCAGAGAGGUUGCCAUUUAGCAGCAGGUCUCCUUGUGCACGUGCGCAGCCUUUUGUAAUCAGCCAAGACUCAACCUGAAAGUCACGUGACCCCCGGAGAACCAUUCUCUUGAGUGAAGGACAGUCAAAAAGCUUUCUUAGAGGAGCCAUCAGUCUUCAAUUUGUAAAUGUGGAAGCAGAGCAGGGGACGGGAAAAGAGGCAGGGAGCCCCUCUUCAGGGACAAGCCCUGCACCAGCCCAUGAGACCAGCUGCUUGCAAGGUGGCCAACACCUUACCUAAACUCAAACUCCACAAUGAGACGCUUGCAUCUUUCCAUGACUUUUUCUUACAAUUCUCUUCAGUGUCUUAUACACAAAUUGUUAAUACCACAACAAAGAUAUUGAGCUGUAUCUUACACAAGUUCCUUAUUAUAGAAGAGAUGCUCCAUGGAGGACAACACAGGAGGACACAUGCAUAUGUUUUUACACAGUCACGCUGUUUCUUUGUCAAUGCAUUUGACAGUAAUGUGGCAAGAAGCCUCAAAUUUAGCUGCAGUGCUAUGAAAUACAGCAGGCCCUUUAAAGACUUAAAAGUGCAAUAGAAGAUCAAGCAAAGAUACCCCUGUGCUUGGAGGCAGGGGAACUGGAGACACUGCCUAAGACACACUCUUCAUAUUCUGAUUGCUUUGCCUCAGGCUCACUGAAUCAUAAGUGAAUUUAUGAAGUCUAUUUGUUUUUGCCAUGCUGGAACAAGCUUUUGUAAUCAUUUCUAGAUGCAACUCUGAAAUUGUUCAGAAUUGGAAGAGUGAACUACACAUAAACAGCAUUCAUUUUCCAUUACAAGCUGUGACAGUCUAGAGAGUCAGUCUUACAACACAGGUAAUCUAAUGAAUUUUAUAAUAUGGAGUCUGUCAUUUGAGGGCCAUGUCACAGCUUGUUUUGAGCAGACUGUUAAGUUAGAACUACUGCUUUUACAGCUGGAAGAACUGUUCUGUACAGGUCUCUCCAACAGCAGAAGAACUUUGCACAGAAACAAAUUCUCAGUGCAGAACAGUGCAAUGUAGCUGUCAAUACUGACCUUUAAAAAAUAAAGAAUUUCUGUGCCUGAGAGUGCCCCGUAGA